Molecule: ribosomal RNA, 842 nt
Filed under: uncultured bacterium
Lineage: Bacteria
Description: bacterial SSU rRNA
Rfam family: Bacterial small subunit ribosomal RNA
Source: RNAcentral
UGGAAUUCGCCCUUAGAGUUAGAUCCUGGCUCAAGACGAACGCUGGCGGCGAGCUUAACACAUGCAAGUCGAACGAAAAGAGGGAAAGAGCUUGCUCUUUCCGGAAUUGAGUGGCAAACGGGAGAGUAACACGUAAACAACCUGCCUUCAAGAUGGGGACAACAGACGGAAACGACUGCUAAUACCGAAUAAGUUCCAAGAGCCGCAUGGCCCAUGGAAGAAAAGGUGGCCUCUACCUGUAAGCUAUCGCCUGAAGAGGGGUUUGCGUCUGAUUAGCUGGUUGGAGGGGUAACGGCCCACCAAGGCGACGAUCAGUAGCCGGUCUGAGAGGAUGAACGGCCACACUGGAACUGAGACACGGUCCAGACUCCUACGGGAGGCAGCAGUGGGGAAUCUUCCGCAAUGGGCGAAAGCCUGACGGAGCAACGCCGCGUGAGUGAUGACGGCCUUCGGGUUGUAAAACUCUGUGAUCCGGGACGAAAAGGCAGAGUGCGAAGAACAAACUGCAUUGACGGUACCGGAAAAGCAAGCCACGGCUAACUACGUGCCAGCAGCCGCGGUAAUACGUAGGUGGCAAGCGUUGUCCGGAAUUAUUGGGCGUAAAGCGCGCGCAGGCGGCUUCCCAAGUCCCUCUUAAAAGUGCGGGGCUUAACCCCGUGAUGGGAAGGAAACUGGGAAGCUGGAGUAUCGGAGAGGAAAGUGGAAUUCCUAGUGUAGCGGUGAAAUGCGUAGAGAUUAGGAAGAACACCGGUGGCGAAGGCGACUUUCUGGACGAAAACUGACGCUGAGGCGCGAAAGCGUGGGGAGCAAACAGGAUUAGAUCCCCUGGUAGUCCACGCCGU